UCUAUCCCCAAGCCAUAAGACUGCUAAAUAGCUAACAAAAUGGCUACACGAACUUUUUUCACCUUUAUUUAACCAGUACUACAUUGAUUGUUACGUGCCUCCUAAGAGAGGUAGGUGCAAGAGUCAGGAGCAGGGGUGCAAGGAUUUCCAGAAGCACAAACGUUUAUUAGAACGUCCCAAACACGACAACAACAGGUGGGGAAACACACCCAACGAAGUCGCCACACACAGGGAAAUAAACGUAGCACAUGGAGGAGAAACCUCUACUCCUAAAUAAACUACAACGGUACAACACGACCGUGAGGAAAAAAAACCUGUGGCGCAAACACGCACCCCUAGCAGAGCAACAACAGCACAUAAUCCCGCACAAAGAAUAGCAGGCAGAGGGGGUUAAUAAACCCACCGAAAUUAACUAAUAGGACACAGGUGUAAAACAAAACAGACAGACACAAACGAAAAGGAAAAAUGAAUCGGUGGCAGCUAGUAGGCCGGCGACGACGACCGCCGAGCACCGCCCGAACAGGGAGAGGAGCCACCUUCGGUGGAAGUCGAUUGAUUACUGCAUUGUUGGGUUUAGAAAGGCAUUUCAUUGUACUUGAGCACGACAACUUGAAACUUUACUGAAGAAUGUGUUUGUUUCAUAUGGUUGUUUUGCUUUUCAUCUUUUGUCCCACUGGGCACACACUGGUUGAAUCAACGUUGUUUCCACGUCAUUUCAAGGAAAUUAUGUUGAACCAACGUGGAAUAGACGUUGAAUUGACAUCUGUGCCAGUGAGGUGUAAUUGAUGUGUUUAUAGAUAUGUAUAGUGUAAUUGUUGUUUAUUGAUGUGUUCAUGCAGAGCUCAUGUGCGAAAGAGACCGCGGUCUCAGCAUGACUCCCUGCUUAAAUGAAGGUUAAAAAACAACCUAAAUAAUAAAUGGUGGCUGUGUCGAGUGGAGUGGACUUGAGACAGCUGAGGCAGCAGGGGUAUGUAUUGUGUUUAAUAGCUUACUGUUUUUUGGGGGGGAGAUUGAGAGAGAGUGCAGUUUUAUGCACGUAACACUUUAAUCUAUUAGACCUUUGAUAUUGAAUCCCUGUUGAAUAUUGUGUUUGCUGUGUUGCACUGAAAAUCAGUUUGCUGAGCUUCAACUUAAAAUUUGCUGUGUUUUGUUUCAGGCCUUUGUUAAACUGUAAAUUACCUUUGGUGACAUCCAAAUUACGCCUGCC
RNAcentral lists this long non-coding RNA (1207 nucleotides) under Salmo salar (Atlantic salmon). RNAcentral's name for it is "lncRNA (ENSSSAG00000109285.1, ENSSSAG00075067050.1)". Lineage: Eukaryota; Metazoa; Chordata; Actinopteri; Salmoniformes; Salmonidae. The record is from RNAcentral.